Molecule: ribosomal RNA, 573 nt
Filed under: Opeltia juniperina
Lineage: Eukaryota; Fungi; Ascomycota; Lecanoromycetes; Teloschistales; Teloschistaceae
Description: eukaryotic LSU rRNA
Rfam family: 5.8S ribosomal RNA (bases 244-397)
Source: RNAcentral
UMAAAGUCGUAACAAGGUUUCCGUAGGUGAACCUGCGGAAGGAUCAUUAACGAGAGGGGGGCUUCGCGCCCCAGGGGCUAAUACCCCCGCACCUUUCCACCCUGUGUAUAUCUUCCACUGUUGCUUUGGCGGGCCCCGGGGCUUCUCCCGGCGCUGGCCUCCUAACGGGGUCCCGCGAGUGCCCGUCAGAGGCCCAUUAAAUUCUGUUUAUCAGUGAAGUCCGAGUUCAAACAAAUAAAUUAAAACUUUCAACAACGGAUCUCUUGGUUCUGGCAUCGAUGAAGAACGCAGCGAAAUGCGAUAAGUAAUGUGAAUUGCAGAAUUCAGUGAAUCAUCGAAUCUUUGAACGCACAUUGCGCCCUUCGGAAUUCCGAAGGGCAUGCCUGUUCGAGCGUCAUUAAACCCUUCAAGCUUGGCUUGGGUAUUGGGUGCCCGCCCCCCGGUUUUAGGGGAGCGCGCCCGAAAUUCAGUGGCGGUCCAGGGAGACUUCAAGCGCAGUAAAAACUUUUCGCUUUCGAAGCUUUCGCCCUGUGGCUCUGCCAGCGAACCCUUUUACUUCAAGAAUGACCUCGG